This 241-nucleotide long non-coding RNA is filed under the name Physcomitrium patens. Its description in RNAcentral is "long non-coding RNA (PPAT_LNC013282)". The record is from RNAcentral. Lineage: Eukaryota; Viridiplantae; Streptophyta; Bryopsida; Funariales; Funariaceae.
UCAGAUUCAUGGAAAAUAUAUUGAAAUGACAGUGGCCCACUUGUGCUGAUAGAUUAAAGAUACGAUGUGAAAGAAUAGCUAUCCUGCCUUCUAAUGUUGCCAAAAGAAACAAUAUAUUGUUAUUUUUUGUUUAUUCUAUUGUCAACUAUAAGCUAGGCUUCCCCGCGUGCGGUGAAAAAGCCUUCCGUCCGUCAGUCAGAGCGGAUCGCGACUGAGCAUGCAUCUCUCUCCCAGCUUCCUC